Molecule: long non-coding RNA, 524 nt
Filed under: Cairina moschata (Muscovy duck)
Lineage: Eukaryota; Metazoa; Chordata; Aves; Anseriformes; Anatidae
Description: domestica (muscovy Duck (domestic type)) lncRNA (ENSCMMG00000001536.1)
Source: RNAcentral
AUAGUGUUGCCAUCAGGGCCAGGGAGGUGAUUAUUCCCCUCUACUCUGCUCUGGUGAGGCUGCACCUUGAGGACUGUGUUCAGCUAUGGAUCCCUCAGUACAAGAAGGAUGUGGAGGCCCUGCAGUGUAUCCAGAGAAGGGCUAGCAAGCUGGUAAAGGGCCUGGAACACAAGUGCUAUGAGGAGCUGGGAUUGUUCAGUCUGGAGAAGAGGAGACUCAUUAUUGCUCUCUGCAACUACCUGAAAGGAAGGUGUGGGAAGAUGACGGUUGGCCUCUUCUUACAGACUCCUUUCCCAGAUGCAUCAAUGUCAGGUCUGUUCAACAGGAGGUGUAUACAAGAGACAUGAGAAGUUAUAAAUUUGCCAUGCCAUCUCUGCAACUUGCUUUGGGAUAAGACAGUAGGUUCCCUAUGCUCUCCAAGCUUAACAGUCUUCCUAGCUGCUGCCAAGAAAAUGGAACUGCAACCUCAGCCAAAGGAGACAGGUCCUAAGGCAGCAAGCCUCUGGGACAAAGCUCUGUUAAUA